This 293-nucleotide long non-coding RNA is filed under the name Ananas comosus (pineapple). Its description in RNAcentral is "long non-coding RNA (ACOM_LNC001925)". Lineage: Eukaryota; Viridiplantae; Streptophyta; Magnoliopsida; Poales; Bromeliaceae. The record is from RNAcentral.
CUUUCCGAAGGGUACCUACUCGACAAAUAGUCGAUUCUGGUCGAAGUUCAACUCUCGGNUGCUUUGGACAUCUUUAGCCUUUCCGAAGGGUACCUACUCGACAAAUAGUCGAUUCUGGUCGAAGUUCAACUCUCGGAUUUCAAGGAUUCACUUCCUUACAUCCUCCCCUCCUUAAAAGGAGUUUCGUCCUCGAAACUAAUCCAAUUCUCAACUUUAACUCAAAUUCAUACCUUAUUCCUCAAACAAGUGAGGAUGGUGCUUUCCCAUCAGAUCCUCGAGUUCCCAGGUGGCCU